UCACCAUGUGAAGAAGGUCCUUGCUUCCUCUUCAUCAUCUAUCAUGAUUGCAAGUUUAGGCCUCCUAAGCCACGUGGAACUUUUAUUUCACCCUGAAGCCAAAAAGAACUUUCUGAAAGGCAAAUUUGCUCAUGCUAUAAUAGUUACUGACAAAUAUUUAAAGGACUAAGUUGUGUAAGGAAUCUACACCGUCAGGCAGAACCAGGACUCCUGGAAGUAGAACUGGGCUGCUUCAUAAGUCUGACUUCAUAUGACAGCUAGAUUCAAAAGGAUGAAAUCAGUAGAGGUGAGACCUCUUGAUGCCUUGGCUUGGAAGUCACAUAUUCUAUUGGCCAAAGCAAAUCACAAGGCCACCACAAAUUCAAGGAGAUGAAGAAACAGACUCUACCUCUCUUGAUUGGCUUAUAAUAUGGUCAGUUCUUCAGAGGAAGAGGAAAAUUUCAUCUGGCCUCAAAUCUCAGUGAUGGCAUUUGUGGGAACAUAAUGUCUGAAGUAAAGACUAAGUAGAAGUCUGACAAGCAAAAAAAGAAAAACAGACAAAGACACUCCAGGAAAGAGAAAGAACCUGAGCAGAAGCACCGAGGUAUGACAGAAAACAUACAGAGGAAAGGCUUCCAAAAGUAACGGAGAUUCACUGGAAGCUCCACAGAAAAACGGGUGGUGCAAAAAAUUAGGCAAGAGGGAGAAUGGGGUUAGGCCAUGUACCAUCAUGUUCAUCAUUAUACAGUGAUUGGACUUGGAGAGGCAGAAGAGAAGCAAGAGCCAGCAUCCUCAUCUUAUAAACAGAAAAGCUAUCUGGGCGCGGUGGCUCAUGCCUGUAAUCCCAGCACUUUGGGAGGCCGAAGCGGGCGGAUCACGAGAUCAGGAGAUGGAGACCAUCCUGGCUAACACGGUGAAACCCUGUCUCUACUAAAAAUAUGAAAAAUAUUAGCCAGGCGUGGUGGCGAGUGCCCGUAGUCCCAGCUACUCGGGAGGCUGAGGCAGGAGAA
This 989-nucleotide long non-coding RNA is filed under the name Pongo abelii (Sumatran orangutan). RNAcentral's name for it is "lincRNA". The record is from RNAcentral. Lineage: Eukaryota; Metazoa; Chordata; Mammalia; Primates; Hominidae.